This is a long non-coding RNA of Lactuca sativa (garden lettuce), 1171 nucleotides long. RefSeq lists it as uncharacterized. The record is from RefSeq and is a predicted model, not a curated record. NCBI's taxonomy places the organism in Eukaryota, Viridiplantae, Streptophyta, Magnoliopsida, Asterales, Asteraceae.
CUCUCAAAUCGAGUUUAAUCUAUUAGAUUGGACUGUUGCACUUUUGGUCCUUGUUUGGUAGUUUUGUUGCAAGUUUGGUUCUUGCCUCUAAAAGCCUUAGAAGGAUUCCGUUAACUCAAUGCAUAUAUUACGGCAAAAUGAAGACUCGAUAUGGUGCGGACUUGUUAGGGGUUGGUCCCAAGAGUUUUUGCGGGCUUGGGAGGCCUUAAAGAAAACUUGGAAACAUCUUUAUUUGGGCUAGUUGGGAGAUGGAAGAAAGAAAGAGUUUAAGCUUAAUCUAGAAAAUAUGGACUAGUUUUUGUGGAUAUUUGGACCAAAAUUGGCAUCUUAAAAGAGUUGUAAAAACAAAGAGAAAGAGUCAAGGAAGAUCAUGUUAUAAAUGACCUUUCCGUGCAAGUCAAAAUUGUCCGACCACUUUUAUGUGGCACGCAUAAAAUUUAUAAUAUGGCUUAAGCAGCCCAUGUAAGCUAUUUAGGGAAAUUUCUUUCUUUUCACUUUUAAAGCUUCUAUAUGGGGUAUGGUUGGUGUCAUCUUAAAGGGAUCUCGUUUGGAACUUGGAGGAAGCUGGAAGAACAAUCUUGAAGACAUCUUUAGGGUUUUUGAACCCAUAUUUCUUCACAUUUUGCGUUAAAAUGGUUGAUACAAUUAAUCCAUUCUUUUCUUUCUUAGUAAUGUUUGGCUAAGUUCUCAUCUAGUUGAUAUUGGAAGUAAUCGAUGGAUAUUUAAUUUGUGUUUAAGAUUUUAUGAAGUUGUGGUAAUUUUCUAUAAAUGUAACUUUUACUUGAAGUUCUUAUCUGGUUGAUAUUUGUGGUGGUGGCGAUGGCGAUGGUGGUAAUGGUGGUGGUGGCGAUGGUAGUGGCGGCUUAGGUGGUGACGUUGGUUGUGAGUGGUAGUAGCAAUGGGUAGGAAUAGUGAUGGAUGUGGUGGCGGUGGCGAUAGGUGGCAGCGAUGAUUAUGGGUGGUGACGGUGGUGGUGGUGGCGGCGAUAGAGGUGGAAGUGGUGGUGGGGGUGGGGUGGCGAUAAUGGUAGGUGUUCCCAUGAAAAUUUUAUGUUUAAGUGUGCUUAGGUAGGAGCAAUUCCUAUGAUUGUGACCUCCUUGGAAGUUGUCAUGUUUUUUUCAAAGCGAACAAUAUAUCGAUACAUGGAUGUUAUAGUAUACUUUCAAGAUUA